This 468-nucleotide ribosomal RNA is filed under the name uncultured bacterium. RNAcentral's name for it is "partial 16S ribosomal RNA". It matches the Rfam family "Bacterial small subunit ribosomal RNA", at positions 28 to 507 of the family's 1533-position model. The record is from RNAcentral.
GACGAACGCUGGCGGCGUGCUUAACACAUGCAAGUCGAACGGCAAAGCCCUGCUUUUGUGGGGGGCUCGAGUCGCGAACGGGUGAAUCACACGUGAGUCACCUGCCCUUGACUUUGGGAUAACUUCAGAACACGGGGGCUAAUCCCGGAUAGGCACUCCUGCUGCAUGGAGGGGGUUGGAAAGUUUCGGCGGUUGGGGAUGGACGCGGGGCUCAUCAGCUUGUUGGUGGGGUAGUGGCUUACCACGUCUUAGACGGGUAGCCGGCCUGAGAGGUUAACCGGCCACAUUGCGCCUGCGAGAGGGCGCAGAGUGCUAUGGGAGGCAGUGGUCGAGAGCGUGGCGCAACGGCCGGACGCCGGAGACAGCAGCGCUGCGGUCGGGAUGACGGUCCUCGGGUUGUAAACCUCUUGCGCCGGAGAGGCAGCGGGAGUGACGGUACUGGCUAAAGAAGCACCGGCUAACUACGUG